AACGAACGCUGGCGGCAUGCCUAACACAUGCAAGUCGAACGAACCCUUCGGGUCUUGUCGCGCACGGGUUCGUAACCCGUGGGAACCUGCACAUGUGUUUGGCCUAACUCCCCGACAGGGGUGCUAACACCGGAUCAUGUCUUCUGCCCAAAAAUUUAUCGCACUUGAUUGUGCCCGAGUUGAAUUAGAUAGUUCGUAGGGUAAAAGACUACUCAGGCGACAAUUCAUAGCUUGUCAGAGAGGAAGCUCACCCACACUGGGAGUGGGACCCGGCCCGGACUCCUACGGGAGGCAGCAGUGGGGAAUAGUGGACAAUGGGCGAAAUGCUGAUGCACCAAUGCCGCGAGAGUGAUGAAGGCCUUAGGGUUGUAAAGCUCUUUUAACCGGGAUCAUAAUGACAGUACCGGGAGAAAAAGCCCCGGCUAACUCCGUG
RNAcentral lists this ribosomal RNA (433 nucleotides) under uncultured bacterium. Its description in RNAcentral is "partial 16S ribosomal RNA". It matches the Rfam family "Bacterial small subunit ribosomal RNA", at positions 29 to 507 of the family's 1533-position model. The record is from RNAcentral.